AUUGAACGCUGGCGGCAGGCCUAACACAUGCAAGUCGAGCGGAUGAAGGGAGCUUGCUCCUGGAUUCAGCGGCGGACGGGUGAGUAAUGCCUAGGAAUCUGCCUGGUAGUGGGGGAUAACGUCCGGAAACGGGCGCUAAUACCGCAUACGUCCUGAGGGAGAAAGUGGGGGAUCUUCGGACCUCACGCUAUCAGAUGAGCCUAGGUCGGAUUAGCUAGUUGGUGGGGUAAAGGCCUACCAAGGCGACGAUCCGUAACUGGUCUGAGAGGAUGAUCAGUCACACUGGAACUGAGACGCGGUCCAGACUCCUACGGGAGGCAGCAGUGGGGAAUAUUGGACAAUGGGCGAAAGCCUGAUCCAGCCAUGCCGCGUGUGUGAAGAAGGUCUUCGGAUUGUAAAGCACGUUAAGUUGGGAGGAAGGGCAGUAAGUUAAUACCUUGCUGUUUUGACGUUACCAACAGAAUAAGCACCGGCUAACUUCGUG
Molecule: ribosomal RNA, 484 nt
Filed under: uncultured bacterium
Lineage: Bacteria
Description: partial 16S ribosomal RNA
Rfam family: Bacterial small subunit ribosomal RNA
Source: RNAcentral